RNAcentral lists this long non-coding RNA (285 nucleotides) under Lathyrus oleraceus (garden pea). RNAcentral's name for it is "Pisum sativum (pea) long non-coding RNA (PSAT_LNC011133)". The record is from RNAcentral. Lineage: Eukaryota; Viridiplantae; Streptophyta; Magnoliopsida; Fabales; Fabaceae.
GCAGAUUCUACUUGUGCAUUAAGCUCUUUCCCUAGCUGAGACUUAUGGUUCAUCCCCGAGUGGUAUGUUUGUUUGAGAUGUUCACCAUUCUCUCCUUCAGUGGAAGAGCAAUCUUUUCUCCUCAGAAGGUGUGAUCUCCUUGGUGAAUUUGGUACUUGGUGUUGGAUCACCAGAUUCCCCUUGUCUUUCUCAGAUAGAUCCCCAGUAGAGUUGUUGGAUUUUAUCUGUGACGAUGUUAUCUUCCUCAGAUAGAUCCCCAACGGAGUUGUUGGUGUGUUGGAUCUU